Cucurbita maxima (winter squash) is the source of this 166-nucleotide long non-coding RNA. RefSeq lists it as uncharacterized. NCBI's taxonomy places the organism in Eukaryota, Viridiplantae, Streptophyta, Magnoliopsida, Cucurbitales, Cucurbitaceae. The record is from RefSeq and is a predicted model, not a curated record. The transcript has 3 exons.
AAGCGAAUAUCUAAGGCUACGAUCCACGAAAAGAAACUAGACACAAUAAGAAGUCUGUGGAAGAAAAUUGAAGGUAAUUCAGGUAUCGGAAGAUCAUGAACAGAGGUCCCGAACGUCGACAACGCGGUUUACGGAUUUCAAAGGACAUAAUCGAACUUUCAUUAAG